This 199-nucleotide ribosomal RNA is filed under the name Klebsiella pneumoniae. RNAcentral's name for it is "partial 23S ribosomal RNA". It matches the Rfam family "Bacterial large subunit ribosomal RNA", at positions 2732 to 2925 of the family's 2925-position model. RNAcentral also lists the same sequence under 1 other name. Lineage: Bacteria; Pseudomonadati; Pseudomonadota; Gammaproteobacteria; Enterobacterales; Enterobacteriaceae. The record is from RNAcentral.
AUGGCACUGCCCGGUAGCUAAAUGCGGAAGAGAUAAGUGCUGAAAGCAUCUAAGCACGAAACUUGCCCCGAGAUGAGUUCUCCCUGAGACUAUAAGUCUCCUGAAGGAACGUUGAAGACGACGACGUUGAUAGGCCGGGUGUGUAAGCGCAGCGAUGCGUUGAGCUAACCGGUACUAAUGAACCGUGAGGCUUAACCUU